GCGGACGGGUGAGUAACACGUGGGAACGUGCCUUUAGGUUCGGAAUAACUCAGGGAAACUUGUGCUAAUACCGAAUGUGCCCUUCGGGGGAAAGAUUUAUCGCCUUUAGAGCGGCCCGCGUCUGAUUAGCUAGUUGGUGAGGUAAAGGCUCACCAAGGCGACGAUCAGUAGCUGGUCUGAGAGGAUGAUCAGCCACAUUGGGACUGAGACACGGCCCAAACUCCUACGGGAGGCAGCAGUGGGGAAUCUUGCGCAAUGGGCGAAAGCCUGACGCAGCCAUGCCGCGUGAAUGAUGAAGGUCUUAGGAUUGUAAAAUUCUUUCAGUAGGGACGAUAAUGACGGUACCUACAGAAGAAGCCCCGGCUAACUUCGUGCCAGCAGCCGCGGUAAUACGAAGGGGGCUAGCGUUGCUCGGAAUUACUGGGCGUAAAGGGAGCGUAGGCGGACAUUUAAGUCAGGGGUGAAAUCCCGGGGCUCAACCUCGGAAUUGCCUUUGAUACUGGGUGUCUUGAGUGUGAGAGAGGUAUGUGGAACUCCGAGUGUAGAGGUGAAAUUCGUAGAUAUUCGGAAGAACACCAGUGGCGAAGGCGACAUACUGGCUC
Molecule: ribosomal RNA, 602 nt
Filed under: Brevundimonas mediterranea
Lineage: Bacteria; Pseudomonadati; Pseudomonadota; Alphaproteobacteria; Caulobacterales; Caulobacteraceae
Description: bacterial SSU rRNA
Rfam family: Bacterial small subunit ribosomal RNA
Source: RNAcentral